This 306-nucleotide ribosomal RNA is filed under the name uncultured bacterium. Its description in RNAcentral is "partial 16S ribosomal RNA". It matches the Rfam family "Bacterial small subunit ribosomal RNA", at positions 507 to 807 of the family's 1533-position model. The record is from RNAcentral.
GACAGCAGUAGCCGCGGUAAUACAGAGGGUGCGAGCGUUAAUCGGAUUUACUGGGCGUAAAGCGUGCGUAGGCGGCUUCUUAAGUCGGAUGUGAAAUCCCUGAGCUUAACUUAGGAAUUGCAUUCGAUACUGGGAAGCUAGAGUAUGGGAGAGGAUGGUAGAAUUCCAGGUGUAGCGGUGAAAUGCGUAGAGAUCUGGAGGAAUACCGAUGGCGAAGGCAGCCAUCUGGCCUAAUACUGACGCUGAGGUACGAAAGCAUGGGGAGCAAACAGGAUUAGAUACCCCAGUAGUCCCUGUCUCUUAUAC